AAAGUAGAUCCUCAUCAUCCAUGUUAUAUAAGGUGAUUAUUGAUAUCAAUUGAUGGUUUCAAAGCUCUCAUUGGUUAGACUCCACGGUCUUGGGAAGAAAAGGAAUGAUAAGGUAUGGUAUUACAUGGAGCUUUGUGGUGGAUUAUGAAUAGGAGGAGCUUGUCCAAAUGGAUGAACCAUGUCCAAAUGGAUGAACCAUGCCCUUGUCCAAAAUUAUGGGAUCUCAUCUUUGAAUCCCAAUUGAAGCUAAUUAUAUCAUACAUAUGAAGAGACAUACUAUGCACUGUUGAAUAGAAUGCAAGCAUCAAACUGUGAGAAUGUUAUAGAUUAUGGUUUAUUGAUGGAGAUCUAUUACAUUGGCAAACAAGAAUGCCUUAGGAACAUUCCAAAAUUUCAAGCCUUUUCAGAUGGAGGAACAAAAUCUUAAGGCAUCAUCUUAAAAUUCCAAUGCUUAAAUUGUGGUGGGUUAUGAAUGGGACUGGGUGGACUUGGACCAGAUGGGGGAACAGGACCCUUAGGCAGCAUCCCAAAAUUCAAAUUCUUAAUUUCUGGUAGAUUAUGGAUUGGUGGCUUGCCCCCAGAUGGAGGAACAGAACCUUUAGGUAGCGUCACAAAAUGUAAUGGUGGUAGGUUAUGAAUGGAUUUAGUGGGUUGAGAAAUGGGAAUGUCUUUGGGUGGAAUAGCAGAAUUCACAAGUUUGUAUGUGGAAGAAGCCCAUUUCAGCCUUUCAUUGUCCACAUCCAAACCAGAGGAAUGAGCCUUGGUAUCCAACUUGGCGUCAAGAAAACAGAAAGCAAAAACAAGUAACAACAGAAGCACAGAGAAUACCCACAAUGGAUUUCUUCUAGCUUCUGCCAUUCUUUCACUGGUUUCUUAGUCUCUAGUGCCUAGUGCUUCAAAACAUGUUGCAUAACCCCUUUAAAUAUGAAUAGACUAGUAGACUACCCUUUGAGAAAGAAAUGAUUUUCAUUACACUCUACCAUUGAUUAAUUGAAUUUCAAUGCAAAUUUAUUUGUUCCUUCAAUGUUAGAUAUCACAUAAUUAGGAAAGAAAUCAACCCAGAUUUUCUAUUUUCCUUUCCAUUUAAGGCACCAUUUCCUU
RNAcentral lists this unclassified non-coding RNA (1101 nucleotides) under Hevea brasiliensis (rubber tree). Lineage: Eukaryota; Viridiplantae; Streptophyta; Magnoliopsida; Malpighiales; Euphorbiaceae. The record is from RNAcentral.